UGCCAACAAAUUAUUAAUAUAUUAAUAUAUCCCCACAUUUGUAAGCUUCUACUAAAUUCUCCAAGAACCUGCAUAUCAGUUAAGUCCUGAAAUGCUCCAGUGCCAAAUAAAAGCCCACUGUGCAGAUAGAAAUGCCUUUGGAAACUCUCAAACAUUCAUUCAAAAGUAUUUAGUGGGUAUCUGUCAGCUGUAUAUCCAGCACUGAGGGAAGACUCAGUCUCUGCCAUCACAUACACCUCAGCACUAAGAAGAGACACAUGAAAUAAUUACCAUCCAGUGUGAUAAGUGCUCUGACAGAGGAUGGAGAGAGGACUAGCCACCUUGGGGAAGAUAGAGAAGCAGGGUCCCAUCAGGAGACGAGGAGAAACCAGCCUCCAGGAGUGUGCUAUCUGAGAGUACAAGAUAAGGAAGGCGAAGAAGACAGGUCCAUACUUGAACACUUGAAGUAGGUAUAUCUAGUGCCUAAGAGUGUGUAUGGUGACAUCUUGUGGAGCAGCGAUCAUGACCCUCAUUUGGUUUGUUAAACCAUUGGGUCAAAUGCCAUGGGAAUGUAACAUGUAAAUGGUCUUUGCCUUAUAACACAGGGUAUCCCAUCCAUGUAAGAGUGAAUUUUUAAAAAGGCAAAACCAAACCUUUGGUUUACAGAAUUUGCUCCAUUUGCCUUAAAUAGUUUUAGCACACAAAUUCUUCCUUGCUUGGGGCCAUUAUGGUGUGUGGAAGCAGAAAAAGAUAAACUGUAGCUUACAGAAAUAGAAAAGCAAUUUUGUCUGAUGAUACAGACAUAAGGAUAUAAACAACAAACAGGUAACACAUAAUAAGUUCCAAAUGAGGCAUUUUGUUGAAAUUCAGUGUUAAGCAUAAAAAGUGAACUCAAAUGCACAAAGGAGGCCUCAUGGAAGGGUGACAAAACACAGAGCAGAUAACAGCCACCCUAUUUUCUGUUCCCUGGGAGUGGGGAGAAAAGACAUCAAAAUCGAAUUAUAAAUUUUAAAAAGUAUUAAAAUUAUCUUAUGGAAAUAUGAUAUUAAGAAGUUUGUUAGACAAAUGGAAAACGUUUUGUGGAAACAAGAAAUAAGAAAGAAUGGCCAUCACUUAAAGCAACAGAACGCAUCUCUCCCACUAGCUCUCCCCUCCCUACCCACAGCUUUAUUUACAUUUGUUCUAUAACAUUUCAGCACAGUUCAGACCUGCCGCUGAGCCAGUGUGAGGUCAGGGUGUUGAGGAAGUGAGUCCCCGCAGUCAGACUCCAGCUGGCUGUCAUCCUGCUUCUGCUUAUUCCACAUAAUCAGUCUGGUGGGGAAGAGGAAAUUCCUAACUUUUUUUUUUUUAACACAUCUUCAUCAGAAAAGUGAAAGCACUAAUUACUGUCCAUAAUAAAACUAUUGGGAAGGUAACUUAGCUUGUAAAUAAGUUCCACAAAGUCAUUUCAGUAAAAGCUUCCUGGUUCUAAAAUUGGGAAAAGCAGGAUAAUCCUCUAAGGCUGACAUUCUUUCUCUUUUGUGCAUUUACAACUAAACAGUCACUGAUAUACAUUUCCACAGCGACCCUGCAAUAUCCACACUGACUUUCUUCUAAGACACUUCAAAAAUCCAUCACACCUUUAUGUGUUAAAUAUCACUAUUGGCAUAUAUCUUUAAAAACAUUUAUUUUCUUAAUUCUCAAAAUACAGAAAAGAAUGUUAUGCUAUUUUGUGUGCAAACUGCUAUUUUCAAUAAGGAGCUCUUAAUUGAGAAAUAGUUGCUAUUUUUCAAUAAAGAACUCUCAAUUAGAAAUAUCAAGAAGUGAUGUUAAGUUUUUAUGGAAGUAAAUAAAAUAUCAUGACAUGAAAAGUUUAUAAUUUUUCCCCCAGCAAUGGCUUAUUCAGGGAAUUUUUCUUAUAUCUAAAGUUAAUGAUCUGAAAAGUGGUAAUCUUAUCACUCACCAAGAUUUCAGGAGGUAAGUUAUUCCUACAGAACAAUCCAUUUUUACCUUUAAAGAUGAGUUUGUGUACUUCAGAAGACGUGAGCCCAGUUGGCCACCAUCAAUCCCUUGUUAAUGAUGGAACUCAUGUGAAGUUAAGAGGAAACAUAAUACUCUUUAUCUCAUUCCCUGGUAGCAGAGAAGUUGACUCAUCUUUAACGUCAGUUACUGAGAUGUAACACAGAAUCAUAUUCUACAGAAAAUAUGUGAUAAACUUUACACAAAUAAAUACACUUUAGAAAGGCAGUCAUUUGGAUUUUCUUUUUGUCAGAGAACACUGCAAGUCUUCCUGAAGAAUCUCUGAGAAAUUAAACACUUUAUAUGACAUUUUAUAGCAUGUAGAGAGGUUGAAACUCAAGAGAACUAAAACUCAGAUGAUAGUCUAAAUACUUAAUUUGUUGCUGCUUUAUGCUGGACGUGAAAAGUGUGAGCUUAAAUUAUAAAUAAAAAACUACUGAACUAUCAAACUAUUUGGGGUACAUCCUUAUCUUUCCUCUAAAUUACUCUUUAUUCCCAUUAAAAUCUACCUAUCCCAGGUCCUCUCUCCUCAGCCCUUGAUCUCUGCUUUCAAAGAUGACUGACUAACCUAAUAAACACAUCUAAGGCGAUGUUGUCAACUUCAACCCAACCCUCUUUCCCCAGAUAACUGUCUGCAUUUCAAGAACAACCUACCAGAGACCUUACCUGUCACCUUGGCUCUCCCACCCAAUGGAGAUGGCUCUAAUGGUGGCACAAACCAGGAAGGGGAAAUCUGUGGUUUAAAUUCUUUAUGCCUCAUCCUCUGAGUGCUGAAGGCUUGCUGUAGGCUGUAUGCUGUUAAUGCUAAUCGUGAUAGGGGUUUUUACCUCCAACUGACUCCUACAUGUUAGCAUUAACAGGGUAUGAUGCCUGUUACUAGCAUUCACAUGGAACAAAUUGCUGCCGUGGGAGGAUGACAAAGAAGCAUGAGUCACCCUGCUGGAUAAACUUAGACUUCAGGCUUUAUCAUUUUUCAAUCUGUUAAUCAUAAUCUGGUCACUGGGAUGUUCAACCUUAAACUAAGUUUUAAAAGUAAGGUUAUUUAAAAGAUUUAUCAGUAGUAUCCUAAAUGCAAACAUUUUCAUUUAAAUAUCAAGCCCACGUUUGUUUUUAUCAUUAACAGAAAAUGUAUUCCUGUCAUUCUUAAUUGCAGGUUUUGACUUGUUCAAUAUAAUGUUCAUAAAUACCUUUGAUUCAACUGUUAGAAAUGUGGGCUAAACACUAAUUUCUAUAAUAUUUUUGUAGUUAAAAAUUAGAAGGACUACUAACCUCCAGUUAUAUCAUGGAUUGUCUGGCAACAUUUUUUAAAAUAUUUAGAAACUGGUACUUUCCCCCAUGUAACGAUUUUCUGUUUAGGCAACUUCAGUUUAGAAUUAAUACUUUCAUUUGACUCUUAAAGGGAAAUUGAAAGGCUAUGAAGCUGAAUUUUUUAAAUGAGAUAUUUUUAACAAGUAGCAGGGUAAAUAACAUCUGAGAGCUAGUGAGAUAUUGUUUCCAUACAAGAUACAAAGAUUUAAUUAAAAAACUCGUAUUUGAAAUGAAGUCCCAAAUCUAGGUUCAAGUUCAAUAGCUAAGCUACAUAAUAUGGUUGUGCAAGCAGAGAAUCUACCUUUCCACUUCUAAGCCUGUUUCUUCAUCCAUGAAAUGGGGAUAAUGCUUUACAAGGUUGUUGUGAGGUUUAGGUGGGAUAGAGAAUAUUCUGUAAGAUAAUCAAGUGCUCCAUCCAUGUUAUAGUUGGGUUAAUCCAAGAACUAGUCACCCUACUUUGUUAGAGAAGAGAAAAGCUAAUGAUUUAAUUUGCAGACUUUUUAAGGUUUGGGUUUCUAUGCAGUUUUUCUAAAUAACUAUAACUUACAAACAUGUAACCAAAUGUAAUUGUUAGUAUAUUUAAUGUAUACUUGUUUUAACAACUCUUCUCAACAUUUUGUCAAGUUUAUUCACUGUAACCAAAUAAAUCUCAUGAGUCUUUAGUUGAUUUAAAAUAA
Cercocebus atys (sooty mangabey) is the source of this 3962-nucleotide long non-coding RNA. RefSeq lists it as uncharacterized. The record is from RefSeq and is a predicted model, not a curated record. Lineage: Eukaryota; Metazoa; Chordata; Mammalia; Primates; Cercopithecidae. The transcript has 2 exons.